Long non-coding RNA from Canis lupus familiaris (dog), 621 nucleotides. RefSeq lists it as uncharacterized. Lineage: Eukaryota; Metazoa; Chordata; Mammalia; Carnivora; Canidae. The record is from RefSeq and is a predicted model, not a curated record. The transcript is spliced from 4 exons.
GAAAUACUCUGGUGGCAAGAAGGCAAACAUCUUACUGCUUCUUUCUCCUCUAAACUCCGUAGAAAAUAAUACUGUAGGGUUUGCUCGCCCUGUUCAGAGUCUACUUUUUCCCUCACCUCAGUAUUUCAUUUUGUGUACGCCUGGAGGAAGAGGUUUCAGACAAAAAAGGAGAAAUGCUAUAAUUAACAAAGCCUACCCUCUCUCUCGCCUCAGAAGAAAAUGAUGGUAUCAUCCUAACUUAAAAUUGUCAAUAUAUAUUCAACUUACAAUCUGGAAGCAAUUAGAUAAAUUUAAUGGAGAAGAAUCUCUAGAUUAUUUGAUUUCCAGUAAUACAGGAACAAAAUAGUACCUAUUUGUAAAGUUCUAUAAAUAUUAAAUGAGCUUUUAUAUAUAAAUCACCUAAGACAGUAUCUGGUCUAUUGUUCAUGCUCAGUAUAGCUGUGGACUUGACCUUAAGACAAAGGCAGACAGAAGCCCUGAGUGCAGUCAUUGCCUUAUUUUCACCAAACAUUGUAGCUGGAUCUGUGCAAUAUGUGAGAGUGGAGGGUCCGGAUGCAUAAACCUUGGAAAAACCAUUGAAAACAACAAAAGGAGAACUCUGAAAACAUAAGGAGAAGGAGG